UUUGUGCCUGCUAAUGGAGAUUGUUAUUUACUUCUGGCAGAUCACAAUUCAUGGCUGCAUGUGGUGAAAUCUCCUUAUUUGAUGAACUACACUUUCUACAAUAAGGUGGAAGCUUUGUUUAUGAUCAGGGGUCGGACGACAGCAUAUAGCGUUAGUGUUGCUUCGUCGUUAUAGUAUUGGCCGGGGCUGUGUUUUCUUUGGUGAAUAAAUGCAAGACUAAAGUUUACGUUGGACUCCCUAGCUGUUGUCAUUUCUGAAUCUCAACACUAUGAAUUUACCAUGUCUCGAAUUAAUUAAUGUUUAUUUUUAUUAAACCUGCAUUCAUAUCGA
Long non-coding RNA from Strongylocentrotus purpuratus (purple sea urchin), 330 nucleotides. RefSeq lists it as uncharacterized. The record is from RefSeq and is a predicted model, not a curated record. Lineage: Eukaryota; Metazoa; Echinodermata; Echinoidea; Camarodonta; Strongylocentrotidae. The transcript is spliced from 3 exons.